Oryctolagus cuniculus (rabbit) is the source of this 1017-nucleotide non-coding RNA. Lineage: Eukaryota; Metazoa; Chordata; Mammalia; Lagomorpha; Leporidae. The record is from RefSeq and is a predicted model, not a curated record.
GGCACAGGAUGAAAGGUGCCCAAGUCUGGGGCCCAGGAAGUGAUGAGGCCCCUCCUUCCUGGGAGCCUUCCCCGGAUUUCCCAUCCUGACCCUGAAGCUGAGAUUCGGGGAUGAGCCUGCGCACCCUCGGGGACGGGAGUCACACCUGGUGGUCCUUACAGCCCCUCCCUGAUGCAGCGCCGGCUCCACAGCCCAUGCAGGGGCGAGCUCUCAGCACCAGCAAAGUGCCUGGCCCUGGCGUCUCCUCUGUGCUCAUCCUCACCUCCUCCCCAGGCUGCUCAGCCCCACUGUAGCACACCUGAUUCUGCUCAGUAAUUAGACGUGGGGGCUCUGAGUUCCUGGAGAGCAGGGGCUAUCUCUAACUCACUGUGGUGUGGGGGCAAACCUAGAGCCCUGCUUGCCAGGUGCAUAUCAGUUUGCAUUUCUUGGCCUGGUGCAAUUACUGAAAAUGCCCCCAUUCCCUUGCAAAACUGCCCUGGUUUGCAUGAGAAAUUAUACAGUCACUCCAGCUAGGUGCCACUCAUGCCCAGCCUGUCGGACAGGCAGUGGGCUGCAGUGGCCGGCUCUGCCUGUCCCGGAGUCAGGCAUGGCUGGAUCCCAGGCGCGACCCCACCAGUCACAAGCCUUCCUCGGAGGCCUCAGCGACCUCAUGAGUGCCAUGAGGAGGCAGAGGACUCUGUCUUGCAGAACUGUCACGAGGACGAGGACGUGGCAAUACUGAUAAAAGUCAACGAGGAAGAAAGCGAGGAAGAGAUCUAAGCUUCCUGCUAGUGCGCCUGGGAAGACAGCAGAGGAUGGCCCAAGUACUUGAGUUCCUGCACCACGGUGGAAACCUAGAUGGAGUUCCUGGCUCCUAGCCUCAGCCUGGCCCAGACCUGACUGUUGUGGACAUUUGGGUCCAGUUCUUCCAGAGCAAGAGCUGUAUCUGCCUGGCGAAGCCCAUGGUGCCGACGACACAGAGACCGGGAGACGGCCCAGAGCCGAGGCGCCCGGACGGCAGUGGACAUGAACGCUGCG